Molecule: long non-coding RNA, 1615 nt
Filed under: Anthonomus grandis grandis
Lineage: Eukaryota; Metazoa; Arthropoda; Insecta; Coleoptera; Curculionidae
Description: uncharacterized LOC126736036
Source: RNAcentral
UACCCUAAAAGAAUACAUUUUUUUAAAGAAAUGGAAAAAAGUCAAUUCAUAAAAAAUGGUAGAAAAUUGUUCAAAUAAAAUAGAAAUAACAUUAAACUCUAAAAAUAAUUUUUUAUUUUGGAACCUCAACAUUCAGUAUAAAUUUUUCAUUCCUCAAAAUUGAAGCUGAAGAAAAAUGAAUGUUAAAUAUCCAGACAAAUGUAACAAAGAUUCAAAGCUUAGAAGGCCUUUAAGUCUAUUUCAAAUAAUUUUAAAAUUGAUUUGAACAAUAUUUAUAUAGGGUCUACCAAUAAGAAUGAUAUAAGUUUAAAUUGCUAAAAAAUAACGAAUUGGUUAAUUUCUAUGAUUGAUGUUUCAUGUUGUAGUUUAUUAUGUAACAUUAUGUUUUAAACAAAAUAUCAUUAAGAUGUCCACCUCGGCUACGGCGACAGACGUUUAGACGAUGAACCCAAUUUUCAAUCACUUUCUAACAAGUUGGGCUGAAUUUUGCGAAUAACCCUAGUUAUGUUAACUUUCAACUCAUUGAUGGUUUGAGGAUUGUUAGAAUACACCUUCGACUUCACAUAUCCCCAAAGAAAAAAGUCCAGGGGAGUAAGAUCACAGGACCUUGGUGGCCAGUUGAUAUUGCCAUGUCGCGAAAUUAUUCGAUCUUCAAAACGCUCUCUUAAUAAAUUAAUUGUGGCUCGGGCGGUGUGUGAUGUUGCUCCGUCCUGUUGAAACCAACUCUGUUCCAUAGAGAAAUGAAUAUUAAAAGAGUGUUUGAAAGGUAGCCUAAAUUGAUCAUCAAGUUUUAAACCUUAACCUAAGAUAUUUAGUUCGGUUAGACGUCAUCGAGGGCCAACUUCUGUCAUAAUAGUCAUUAUUAUUAUCGAUUUUCUUUCCUUCCUUGCCAUCACCCACCUUCGCAUCAUCGAUCGUCGCCAUUGCUUAUUCCUUUUUAUUUGGGCGUCCAUUGGGUGUGUUCUUUUGUUUUUUUCUCAACAAAAAAUGGUUAAAAAUGUAGCUUAAAGUCAUUAAAGUGUAAUUUCAUCAUAUAGGCAGAAGCUUUUUUGUUGUUUUAUUGUGUGGUUUCAGAUCCCUAGGAUGGGGUCUGACGAAAGGUAUCAUCAGUGCUUUGCUGCUAGGAAGUACCAAAAGCACAAUAAGUGAAACAACUUCCAUUCUACCAGGUCACUACUCAAGGAGGUACCUCACCUCGAUAAGGUGGGAGUAAGAUCCAGGGAUGCUCUUUGAAUAUUUAAGAAAAAGGACUGAUGACAUCUAGAAUUAAGGGUAUACAUCAGUGUCAACUAAUUUUUAAUAUCAUACUCUCCAUAAAGAAUAUUUUAAUUACAGGAUUAGUUUUUAUAUAUUACCACUCCCCUAACAUUUUUGGGUACCCUCUGUACAAAAAAGUAGGUAGUAAAGGUAAAAUUUUUAGGGCAUAUUUUUGAGAAAUAUAGUUCUUAUGUCUGUAAAUAAUUAAUUUAUAAAUUUGAUAAAUUGUAAUUUCUGUAUCAUAUCCUCAAAAUGUAAAAUGUAAAAAGCAAAAUACAUACCAUGGAGUGUUGUGCUAAAGCAGCACAAAAACAAAUUGUAUCAGGAUCCCUUUUAAGACAAUAAAUUAUAAACUUAC